UACAGAGGUGGCAAGCGUUGUUCGGAAUUACUGGGCGUAAAGGGCGCGUAGGCGGCCAUCUAAGUCAGACGUGAAAUCCCCCGGCUUAACCUGGGAACUGCGUCUGAUACUGGAAGGCUUGAGUAUGGGAGAGGGAUGUAGAAUUCCAGGUGUAGCGAUGAAAUGCGUAGAUAUCUGGAGGAAUACCGGUGGCGAAGGCGGCAUCCUGGACCAUUACUGACGCUGAGGCGCGAAAGCUAGGGGAGCAAACGGG
Molecule: ribosomal RNA, 253 nt
Filed under: uncultured bacterium
Lineage: Bacteria
Description: partial 16S ribosomal RNA
Rfam family: Bacterial small subunit ribosomal RNA
Source: RNAcentral